CACUAUCGGACAUCCCUAAUUAUAAACAAUACUAUACGAUACUACGAUAUACUACUGUACUACAAUCUGCUGUAAUGAUUUUUGCUGUGUCAGAUGGUGUUGAGCAACGUCAAAUUAGGCAAUGCUGAGGACAACUAAUUGAAAGUACUAGACACACUUCCUGCUCAGUGUUAGACACCAGAAAUUCAUCCAACAUGUAUUCUUUAUAAAGCAACAAAUGAGGCAAAGUGGAGUGCACUAUUUGGCUGCAGCCAGCAGAGGUGCUGUUGCUUGAGUCUCAACUAGUUUGCUGUGUAAAGAAGUUAAGUGUGACGUCAACGAUGGCAAGUUGAGCUACUGUACAUCCAUCAAGUGACAAGAUGCUUUGGCAAGAUACACCCAGCAGGACCUCCCAGCACAUGUGGCAGUGACCGGCGCGGUCCGCGACCUCUCACCUCAUCUGGGUCGGAAAGCUUGAACUCCCAGCCAUCGCCUGUCCAGCUGAUGAAGGACUGGCAAGAUUUGUCGGUCAGCAGCUCCAGUAGAAACUGCCACAGCUGGAUGGGCCCCGGUACCUGCAGAGUGGACCACAUCACACACAGGAGGUGCAUUUAGUUGACGUUUUAUUCUUCUGCUUUGAAAACACACAUCACUGUAGUAUUAUUACACCUGCUCAUUUGUAAUAUUUAUGUUUAGGCCCAAUCCCAAUGUUCACCCUCGAAAUGAAGCAACAAGGGGGAGAGCUUUGUCAUCUUCCCUAGGAAUUGGGAGAGAGCACUUGCUACGUCACUGCAUAGUUUAAGUUUGGGCACGUAAGCAACUACGUAGUUACGUUUGCACAUACGUACCUAGGGUUGUCCCGAUUACUGUAACCGGUACCAAAAUGUAUAUCGAUAUGUAUCACGAUGCUUUCAAAUAAAGGGG
This is a long non-coding RNA of Entelurus aequoreus (snake pipefish), 903 nucleotides long. RefSeq lists it as uncharacterized. The record is from RefSeq and is a predicted model, not a curated record. Lineage: Eukaryota; Metazoa; Chordata; Actinopteri; Syngnathiformes; Syngnathidae. The transcript is spliced from 5 exons.